AGUUGAACAACCAAUCAGCAACCAUCUGAGUAGAAUCUUAUCUAAAAUCUGUUUGGAGAAUGAAGAGUCUCAUCAUCGCCAGUGUUCUCGUGGUUGCUAUGGCAAUGAUGGCAGCAGCCGCACCUAAUCCAGAUUGAUCAAUACGGAGGAGUGAUCUCAUUCAAAAAUUGCUUAAGGAAAUGGCAGAGGCAAAGGAAGAAGAAGCUCCCAGUCAGGAAAUGUGUAUAGACCAAAAUGAUGAAGUGGAAUGUACUUGCAUUCGUUUCAAGGGCAAGAAACCAGUGUGUGUGGGGUCUAACUGUAAUGCCGAACCAGCUGGUACACAAGGAUGGAAUCCAUUUGAAGAAGGGGUGCUCCAUAAACAAGGAUGGAAUCCAUUUGAAGACGGAGUGCUCCAUAAUUAAACAUAAGGACUGAUAUAUAGUCGUGACUAAAAACAAGAUGUAAUUAUUAUAAAUAGCAGAUGAAUAUAAUACAACGUAUAGUGACCAUGCAGACACAUGUAUAAGGUCAGUAUUAUUUUUCAGUUGUAUAUAGACCAUUGUGCAAGCCAUGCAUAAUAUCCUUAUGACCCUGCCAGGGUACUUAACCCUUUUGCCGUCAGUUAGACAAAAUAAAGACAAUAUUAAUUUUGGUAAGGUUUAAUAUUCAGUUUCGGUUGCCUAGCAACCUAAAUUGAGAUUUAGUUUUAGCAAUAGCUUAUACACACAUGCAUUAUAUCAUGAUGAACAUUUUGUACUAACUGCAUUCAAGCAGAAUCCAGAAUUACUGGGAAACUCAAUGAGUGCAUGGGAAAUGAUUAUUGUUAAAAAGGAUCGAUGCCAAAACAUCCAUGUCUAAAAUUAAUGGCUGCUGCAUCAGCAGAGCCUUGCAGCUCUCUUCUCACUCUUGAAGCUACCAAUAGCUAGUGUUCUAGUGCAGAGCUAUCUACUAAGUAGAGUAGCAACACUCCAUGGACAAGUUUUUCUACGCACUCUUCUGAAAAGGCUUGAAAUGCAUGGCAUUCCAAAUAAGCAAAACUAGGCAUAACUCAAGAACCAAGCAUUAUUUUGCAAAUCCACGAAUUAAAAACAUGACUAGAAGCCUAUAGAAACUCUUACUUGCACUUCAUUGAUCACACGCCUAGCGCCUAUGUUAAAAUGUUGUGGAGGUCAGCUUGCCCACGAAAAUAACGAAUAUUUUUUAUUUACCCCACGAAAAGUACCUGCCGCAUAUACGGUAUUGUCAUUAUCAGAUGCUACGUAUAAAGUGAACCCCUGUCCAUAUAGGCAUCAAUCAAUCAUCAAUCAAUCAAUCAAUCAAUCAUCAAGCCUCACAUUACGGAAGAGUAUCAAUCCACUGCAGUGAGGUGAAGUACAUGCAUGCAUGGUGGGUUUGGAAUGAGGGAUGAAACAACUCGAUAAUUUACUGUUAAUAGGAUAAUUUCUCGGUGGAGUGAUCUCUCAGAGUAUCAAUUAACAGUAAAUGGGUUGUAUGUACAUGUAACUGUGCAUGCACGUUCACAGGGCACUAAUGGAGUUCAUGCGUGGUGCUGUUUGGAAUGAGAGGGAUGAAACAACUUACUGUUAAUAUAAUAUAGGAUAACUUCUCGGUAGAGUGAUCUUUCAGUCAGUGAGUGAUUUUAUAUCCAUUAACAGUAAAUGGGUUGUACGUAACUGUGCGUGCACAUUCACAGGGUAUACUAAUGGAGUUCAUGCGUGGUGCUGUUUGGAAUGAGAGGGAUGAAGGGAAGCCACUUUGAUCUUCUGUAUAUAAAAUGAUGCUAGGUGGCUACACACAUCCAUGACCACACUCGCCAACUAACUGAAGUUGAACAACCAAUCAGCAACCAUCUGAGUCUUAUCUAAAUCUGUUUGGAGAAUGAAGGGUCUCAUCAUCGCCUGUGUUCUCGUGGUUGCUGUGGCAAUGAUGGCAACAGCCGUACCUAAUUCAGAUCGACCAAUACGGAGGAGUGCAGACUUUAAUCGCAUUCAAGAGUUGCUCAAGGAAAUGGCAGAGGCAAAGGAAGAAGAAGCUCCCAGUCAGGAAAUGUGUAUAGACCAAAAUGAUGAAGUGGAGUGUACUUGCAUUCGUUUCAAGGGCAAGAAGCACCCAGUGUGUGUGGGGUCUAACUGUAGUGCUGAACCAGCUGGUAUACAAGAACGUUGCUCUCCCGGAAAUCCCUCGUGUCAUCCACCAAAUCCAACAUGGCCUAAAUAAGGACUGAUAUAUAAUACUUGUGCUAAAAAACAAGAUGUAAUUAUGAUGAUAGUUAUUGAAUACAGGCUGAUGCAUGCUAGUGACUAGACUUAGUGCAUGUCAUUUUGUCAGUAUUAUUUUUCAGUUGUAGAGCAUUGUGCAAGCCGUGCAUAAUAUCGUUAUGACCCUG
Halichondria panicea is the source of this 2368-nucleotide RNA transcript. RefSeq lists it as uncharacterized. The record is from RefSeq and is a predicted model, not a curated record. The transcript is spliced from 6 exons. NCBI's taxonomy places the organism in Eukaryota, Metazoa, Porifera, Demospongiae, Suberitida, Halichondriidae.